This 787-nucleotide ribosomal RNA is filed under the name uncultured Rheinheimera sp. RNAcentral's name for it is "bacterial SSU rRNA". It matches the Rfam family "Bacterial small subunit ribosomal RNA", at positions 726 to 1509 of the family's 1533-position model. Lineage: Bacteria; Pseudomonadati; Pseudomonadota; Gammaproteobacteria; Chromatiales; Chromatiaceae. The record is from RNAcentral.
CCCCUGGCACAAUACUGACGCUCAGGUGCGAAAGCGUGGGGAGCAAACAGGUAUUAGAUACCCUGGUAGUCCACGCCGUAAACGAUGUCUACUAGCUGUUCGUGGUCUUGUACUGUGAGUAGCGCAGCUAACGCACUAAGUAGACCGCCUGGGGAGUACGGUCGCAAGAUUAAAACUCAAAUGAAUUGACGGGGGCCCGCACAAGCGGUGGAGCAUGUGGUUUAAUUCGACGCAACGCGAAGAACCUUACCUACUCUUGACAUCUAGCGAAGAUUGCAGAGAUGCAGUUGUGCCUUCGGGAACGCUAAGACAGGUGCUGCAUGGCUGUCGUCAGCUCGUGUUGUGAAAUGUUGGGUUAAGUCCCGCAACGAGCGCAACCCUUAUCCUUAGUUGCCAGCACGUAAUGGUGGGAACUCUAGGGAGACUGCCGGUGAUAAACCGGAGGAAGGUGGGGACGACGUCAAGUCAUCAUGGCCCUUACGAGUAGGGCUACACACGUGCUACAAUGGUACGUACAGAGGGAGGCAAGCUGGCGACAGUGAGCGGAUCUCUUAAAGCGUAUCGUAGUCCGGAUCGCAGUCUGCAACUCGACUGCGUGAAGUCGGAAUCGCUAGUAAUCGCAAAUCAGAAUGUUGCGGUGAAUACGUUCCCGGGCCUUGUACACACCGCCCGUCACACCAUGGGGAGUGGGUUGCAAAAGAAGUAGGUAGCUUAACCUUCGGGAGGGCGCUUACCACUUUGUGAUUCAUGACUGGGGGUGAAGUCGUAACAAGGUAACCAAUCACUA